AGGGCAGUAGCGCAAUGGCAGCGCAGCGGUCUCCAAAACCGCGGGUUGGGGGUUCGAGUCCCUCCUGCCCUGCCU
Molecule: transfer RNA, 75 nt
Filed under: Deltaproteobacteria bacterium
Lineage: Bacteria; Pseudomonadati; Myxococcota; Myxococcia
Description: tRNA-Trp
Rfam family: tRNA
About the family: Transfer RNA (tRNA) molecules are approximately 80 nucleotides in length. Their secondary structure includes four short double-helical elements and three loops (D, anti-codon, and T loops).
Source: RNAcentral